UACGAAGGGUGCUAGCGUUGUUCGGAAUCACUGGGCGUAAAGCGCGCGUAGGCGGCUUGUCAAGUCAGAGGUGAAAGCCUGGAGCUCAACUCCAGAACUGCCUUUGAAACUGUCAAGCUAGAGUGUUGGAGGGGAUAGCGGAAUUGCUAAUGUAGAGGUGAAAUUCGUAGAUAUUAGCAGGAACACCGGUGGCGAAGGCGGCUAUCUGGACAACAACUGACGCUGAGGCGCGAAAGCGUGGGGAUCAAACAGG
Molecule: ribosomal RNA, 253 nt
Filed under: uncultured bacterium
Lineage: Bacteria
Description: partial 16S ribosomal RNA
Rfam family: Bacterial small subunit ribosomal RNA
Source: RNAcentral